CGGAUUUGCUUUAUUUAAAUCAACACCAUCGUAUCCCUGGCUGGGUUGGAAGGUAAUUAUCAAAAGUUAGGAGAGUAAUUUUGCCCGUAGGGUUUGGGAUGGAUUGGGUGGCUUAGCGCAUAGAGAGGGAGAUGGAGAGCGAAACGGUGUUGUCAUUCGGUGAGGGUUUCGGGGAUGGGAGGCCAUGCCGCCUCUGAUAUAGAGAUAGAGAGAGAGGGUGAGGGAGACAGAGCGACAGAGAGAGAGGGAGACUGAGGAGUAGGGAUCACUGCUACUGACGACUCGGUCACUGUCUCAGAUCUCCUCCUCAACGCCAACGCCCACCGAGUCCAGUGUCUCGCUCUCCAAGCCCAAAGAAGGCAGCUUCGCCGACAUGAUCGAUAAAGCUUUGGAGAACGAGUUCAAAGAGAAUGAUUAGAACGAAGUGGAACUCUCUCCUCCCCAUACUCAACCCUCUACUUCUUCUCUGAUUCGUGGUUGGGUGCAGCGGCAGCACAGAGCUUUCGCCGGAGGAAGAAAGGAUUUUGAUACGAGACAUUGCUUUGGCUGCUGAAGCCAAUUUCAAAGAGGGCGAUGUCGUCUACUUGCUCACCCGAAGGUUUGCAUGGAAGAUGAGAAGACGAUCUCUGUAUCCUUUGAAACACGUAUUUUGGAAAGCUUGAUGAUUCGCCUAUGUUUCAUGAACAGGCAGUGGCACAUAUUUGGGCAGGGCUUGGAGAGCCGGACCCCAGAUGGUGUAUGCCUACACCAGCAUGACUAAGGUGGUUAACCCUGCCGGCUGGAGCGACGAUAACCACGCCGAACGUGACAAAAAUGUGGCCUACAAAGAGUACAAGUGCAUGGGUCCAGGUUCAUGUACAUAAAAUAAGAGAAAUUUGAGCAAAGAACUGACUGACAAAUAAGUUAAGCCUUUCACUAGCCUUGGAUGUAUUCAGGGUAUGGUUGCUACCUCCUCCAUAUCCAAGUAUGUCUAUAUGUAUAUAGACUAGGUACAUGAAGAUGUUUCAUUUAGAAAAUCGUGCAAGUCAUCAAGAGAAAAUCGUGCUUCUCUUUUGGAGGAACUUCCACUUUCACUGGGUCCUGCUUCAUUACUGUAUUGUUCACAUGUUCGCAUAAUCAUGUCUUAUUGUACAGUUUUUUAUUCCUCAAAAUCACAAUUGGUAAUAUCCUCACACAAAGAAAUGCUUCUGUUGGAAUAUUGUUUCAUCGUUCGGUUGAGCUC
This is a long non-coding RNA of Pyrus x bretschneideri (Chinese white pear), 1222 nucleotides long. RefSeq lists it as uncharacterized. The record is from RefSeq and is a predicted model, not a curated record. The transcript is spliced from 5 exons. NCBI's taxonomy places the organism in Eukaryota, Viridiplantae, Streptophyta, Magnoliopsida, Rosales, Rosaceae.